AGUGAACGCUGGCGGUAGGCCUAACACAUGCGAGUCGAACGGCAGCACAGUAAGAGCUUGCUCUUACGGGUGGCGAGUGGCGGACGGGUGAGGAAUACAUCGGAAUCUACUUUUUCGUGGGGGAUAACGUAGGGAAACUUACGCUAAUACCGCAUACGACCUACGGGUGAAAGCAGGGGAUCUUCGGACCUUGCGCGAUUGAAUGAGCCGAUGUCGGAUUAGCUAGUUGGCGGGGUAAAGGCCCACCAAGGAGACGAUCCGUAGCUGGUCUGAGAGGAUGAUCAGCCACACUGGAACUGAGACACGGUCCAGACUCCUACGGGAGGCAGCAGUGGGGAAUAUUGGACAAUGGGCGCAAGCCUGAUCCAGCCAUACCGCGUGGGUGAAGAAGGCCUUCGGGUUGUAAAGCCCUUUUGUUGGGAAAGAAAAGCAGCAGGUUAAUACCCCGCUGUUCUGACGGUACCCAAAGAAUAAGCACCGGCUAACUUCGUG
Molecule: ribosomal RNA, 492 nt
Filed under: uncultured bacterium
Lineage: Bacteria
Description: partial 16S ribosomal RNA
Rfam family: Bacterial small subunit ribosomal RNA
Source: RNAcentral